CCGACCUUAGCUCAGUUGGUAGAGCGGAGGACUGUAGUAUGAGCAGAUUAAUCCUUAGGUCGCUGGUUCGAAUCCGGCAGGUCGGA
RNAcentral lists this transfer RNA (86 nucleotides) under Sorghum bicolor (sorghum). RNAcentral's name for it is "tRNA tRNA-Tyr". It matches the Rfam family "tRNA". Rfam says of the family: Transfer RNA (tRNA) molecules are approximately 80 nucleotides in length. The record is from Rfam by way of RNAcentral. Lineage: Eukaryota; Viridiplantae; Streptophyta; Magnoliopsida; Poales; Poaceae.